Molecule: ribosomal RNA, 730 nt
Filed under: uncultured bacterium
Lineage: Bacteria
Description: bacterial SSU rRNA
Rfam family: Bacterial small subunit ribosomal RNA
Source: RNAcentral
AACAGGAUUAGAUACCCUGGUAGUCCACGCCCUAAACGAUGCAUAUUUGGUGUGGGCCAUUCAUUUGGUCUGUGCCGGAGCUAACGCGUUAAAUAUGCCGCCUGGGGAGUACAGUCGCAAGGCUGAAACUCAAAGGAAUUGACGGGGGCCCGCACAAGCGGUGGAGCAUGUGGUUUAAUUCGACGCAACGCGAAGAACCUUACCUGGGCUCGAAAUGCUUACGACCAUCUUUGGAAACAGAGACUUCCCGCAAGGGACGUGAGUAUAGGUGCUGCAUGGCUGUCGUCAGCUCGUGUCGUGAGAUGUUGGGUUAAGUCCCGCAACGAGCGCAACCCUUGUCCUGUGUUGCCAUCAUUAAGUUGGGAACUCGCAGGAGACCGCCAGGGAUAACCUGGAGGAAGGUGGGGAUGACGUCAAGUCCUCAUGGCCUUUAUGUCCAGGGCUACACACGUGCUACAAUGGACGGUACAAAGCGCUGCCAACCCGCGAGGGGGAGCCAAUCGCAAAAAACCGUUCUCAGUUCGGAUUGCAGGCUGCAACUCGCCUGCAUGAAGCUGGAAUCGCUAGUAAUGGCAGAUCAGAACGCUGCCGUGAAUACGUUCCCGGGCCUUGUACACACCGCCCGUCACAUCACGAAAGUGGGUUGUACUAGAAGUCCGCGCGCUAACCGUAAGGAGGCAGCGGCCCAAGGUAUGACUCAUGAUUGGGGUGAAGUCGUAACAAGGUAACC